RNAcentral lists this ribosomal RNA (612 nucleotides) under uncultured bacterium. RNAcentral describes it as "bacterial SSU rRNA". The stretch from base 1 to 542 matches the Rfam family "Bacterial small subunit ribosomal RNA", at positions 338 to 873 of the family's 1533-position model. The record is from RNAcentral.
CCUACGGGAGGCAGCAGUGGGGAAUUUUGGACAAUGGGCGCAAGCCUGAUCCAGCAAUGCCGCGUGCAGGAUGAAGGCCUUCGGGUUGUAAACUGCUUUUGUACGGAACGAAACGGUCUGCUUUAAUACAGUGGGCUAAUGACGGUACCGUAAGAAUAAGCACCGGCUAACUACGUGCCAGCAGCCGCGGUAAUACGUAGGGUGCGAGCGUUAAUCGGAAUUACUGGGCGUAAAGCGUGCGCAGGCGGUUAUAUAAGACAGAUGUGAAAUCCCCGGGCUCAACCUGGGACCUGCAUUUGUGACUGUAUAGCUAGAGUACGGUAGAGGGGGAUGGAAUUCCGCGUGUAGCAGUGAAAUGCGUAGAUAUGCGGAGGAACACCGAUGGCGAAGGCAAUCCCCUGGACCUGUACUGACGCUCAUGCACGAAAGCGUGGGGAGCAAACAGGAUUAGAUACCCUGGUAGUCCACGCCCUAAACGAUGUCAACUGGUUGUUGGGUCUUCACUGACUCAGUAACGAAGCUAACGCGUGAAGUUGACCGCCUGGGGNGUACGGCGCGAGUAGAACGAGANAGAGUGNGNGNGNGAGNGCGAGGCGACGACGAGGGAGGAGG